Molecule: ribosomal RNA, 721 nt
Filed under: uncultured Alphaproteobacteria bacterium
Lineage: Bacteria; Pseudomonadati; Pseudomonadota; Alphaproteobacteria
Description: bacterial SSU rRNA
Rfam family: Bacterial small subunit ribosomal RNA
Source: RNAcentral
ACGCGUGGGAAUCUACCUUAAAGUGGGGAAUAACUAUUGGAAACGAUAGCUAAUACCGCAUAAUCCCUUUGGGGCAAAGGCUUCGGCCGCUUUUAGAUGAGCCCGCGUUAGAUUAGGCUGUUGGUGAGGUAAUGGCUCACCAAACCUGUAAUCUAUAGCUGGUCUGAGAGGACGAUCAGCCACACUGGGACUGAGACACGGCCCAGACUCCUACGGGAGGCAGCAGUGGGGAAUAUUGGACAAUGGGGGAAACCCUGAUCCAGCAAUGCCGCGUGAGUGAUGAAGGCCUUAGGGUUGUAAAACUCUUUCAGAAGUGAAGAUGAUGACGGUAACUUCAGAAGAAGCUCCGGCUAACUCCGUGCCAGCAGCCGCGGUAAUACGGAGGGAGCUAGCGUUGUUCGGAAUUACUGGGCGUAAAGAGCGUGUAGGCUGUUAGGUAAGUCAGAGGUGAAAUCCCUAAGCUCAACUUAGGAACUGCCUUUGAUACUAUCUUACUAGAGAUCGAGAGAAGUUAGCGGAACUCCAAGUGUAGAGGUGAAAUUCGUAGAUAUUUGGAAGAACACCAGUGGCGAAAGCGGCUAACUGGCUCGUAUCUGACGCUGAGACGCGAAAGCGUGGGUAGCAAACAGGAUUAGAUACCCUGGUAGUCCACGCCGUAAACGAUGUGUGCUAGCCGUUUGUGAUUUAUCACAAGUGGUGCAGCUAACGCGUAAGCACACCG